GAUUCCUGUACUGCGGUAUGACAGAACUGUGGGGACACGUAAGGAAAGCGGAAGCCGGGAAUGGAAAGCCCGGUGCAAGCGGGGUACCAGCCACUCAGGCAAAUCCGGGUGGCAAUGGGAAGCUGUGAUGCGGAGCGAAAUACAAGUAGCGAAGUCCGUGAGCCAUGCGUCAAGAAAAGCCGCUAUUGUUUAUACCGUACCCGUACCGUAAACCGACACAGGUGGAUGAGGAGAGAAUCCUAAGGCCGGCGGAAGAAGCAUUGUCAAGGAACUCGGCAAAAUGACCCCGUAACUUCGGGAGAAGGGGUGCCACUGAGAAGUGGCCGCAGAGAAUAGGCUCAAGCAACUGUUUAGCAAAAACACAGGUCUAUGCGAAACCGAAAGGUGAGGUAUAUGGGCUGACGCCUGCCCGGUGCUGGAAGGUUAAGAGGAGAGGUUAGCGGAAACGCGAAGCUUUGAAUUUAAGCCCCAGUAAACGGCGGCCGUAACAAUAACGGUCCUAAGGUAGCGAAAUUCCUUGUCGGGUAAGUUCCGACCCGCACGAAAGGCGUAAUGAUUUGAGCGCUGUCUCGACAAUGCAUCCGGUGAAAUUGAAGUACCAGUGAAGAUGCUGGUUACCUGCGCCAGGACGGAAAGACCCCAUGGAGCUUUACUCCAGUUUGGUACUGGGGUCCGGUAUUGCAUGUACAGGAUAGGUGGGAGGCUAGGAAGCAGCAACGCCAGUUGCUGCGGAGCCGCUGUUGGGAUACCACCCUUGUAGUACUGGGCUUCUAACCAGCCGCCGUGAACCGGCGGUGGGACAAUGCCAGACGGGGAGUUUGACUGGGGCGGUCGCCUCCGAAAGGGUAUCGGAGGCGCCCAAAGGUUCCCUCAGAAUGGACGGAAACCAUUCGAAGAGUGCAAAGGCAGAAGGGAGCUUGACUGCGACACCGACGGGUGGAGCAGGUACGAAAGUAGGGCUUAGUGAUCCGGUGGUAUUAAGUGGGAAUGCCAUCGCUCAACGGAUAAAAGCUACCCUGGGAUAACAGGCUUAUCACUCCCAAGAGUUCACAUCGACGGAGUGGUUUGGCACCUCGAUGUCGGCUCAUCGCAUCCUGGGGCUGUAGUAGGUCCCAAGGGUUGGGCUGUUCGCCCAUUAAAGCGGUACGCGAGCUGGGUUCAGAACGUCGUGAGACAGUUCGGUCCCUAUCCGGCGUGGGCGUAGGAUAUCUGAGAGGAGCUGUCCUUAGUACGAGAGGACCGGGAUGGACGGACCGCUGGUGUACCGGUUAGACUGCCAAGUCUACGGCCGGGUAGCCAAGUCCGGAAGGGAUAAACGCUGAAGGCAUCUAAGCGUGAAGCCCCCCUCAAGAUGAGAUGUCCCAUUCGAAAGAAGUAAACCCCCUUGAAGACGACGAGGUAGAUAGGGCAGGGGUGGAAGUGUGGCAACACAUGGAGCUGACUGUUACUAAUAGGGUGAGGGCUUGACCGA
RNAcentral lists this ribosomal RNA (1471 nucleotides) under metagenome. RNAcentral's name for it is "bacterial LSU rRNA". It matches the Rfam family "Bacterial large subunit ribosomal RNA", at positions 1434 to 2925 of the family's 2925-position model. The record is from RNAcentral.